GUGAUGCUUCUGACCAAGAACUUCACAGUGGCUUCAUCCUAUGCUUUCUAUGAUGAUAACAGGGUCCCAGAAAUGCCCGACUGCAAAUGGUAUUCCCUUCCAGGAUGUCCAAGAGACUUAAACCCUGUAUGUGGAACAGAUUCCAUAACCUAUGGCAAUGAAUGCCUACUUUGUCAGAAAAUUAGGCACUCCAUCCCACCCCCCAGUCAGGCCUUGCUCCACAGAGAGAAGUUAUGGACAUGUCAAGGUGCUCCUUGUUGACAGAAAUCCAAGAAGGAG
This 279-nucleotide long non-coding RNA is filed under the name Phascolarctos cinereus (koala). RNAcentral's name for it is "lncRNA (ENSPCIG00000000868.2)". Lineage: Eukaryota; Metazoa; Chordata; Mammalia; Diprotodontia; Phascolarctidae. The record is from RNAcentral.